Molecule: long non-coding RNA, 1692 nt
Organism: Mastomys coucha (southern multimammate mouse)
Lineage: Eukaryota; Metazoa; Chordata; Mammalia; Rodentia; Muridae
Exons: 3
Source: RefSeq, a predicted model, not a curated record
GGCUGCCCCCUUCCCCGCUGCCUCCUCGCCUCCCACCCCGUCUCCACCGAGGCCCCCGCGAAACAGGAAAAGUGGGGGAAGGAGGAAAAGGAGCGGUUGAACCGAGGGCGGAGUUGAUCGGGCCGCCGGCCCCGGACAGAAGGAGCGCUCUUGGUCAAUCCUAGCUCCGCGUGGGUCCGGAGCUCAGAGCUUGAGAAAGCGGGAAGUCAAGCCCAGGAUCCCUCUUGCAGGCCUACCCCGGGGUCCAGGGCUCACGGAACCAAGGGCCAUCCGUCUGGACCUGUUCCGAGUUCACCAGCGGGACAGCCUAGCUGAUCUGGGUGGCCCAGCUGUGCAAGAUGACAUGGGACCCAGGCUAGCUUUUGGAGCCUGGAUUUGCAGCCCUGAGACUUGGUGGCUUCUCUUUUAAGAGCUCGGGCCUAGUCGUCUGGCUGCAGUAAAGUAGCAAUCCACAGUAGGGUGACAGCUGGCAGGAUCUUCUAGAGAGUCUUAUAGGGCGGACUCCUAAUGCCAAUACUAGACACAGGAGGAUGGCGAGAUCUGGGAAUAACCAAACUAACCCAGCAAAGGCUUGCUGUAACUGAGAGGGCAGGGCAGGGCCAGCUGCUGUCUUUCCCCCUAGUGUGUGACUUUGUAGUAAAACCUUUCAAAAUCUAGGACAGAAGAAUGGAUAAAAUGAGUUUCGAGGGGCUCUUGGAAGGACCCCCUGGAUGUCAGUAUAGGGUUAAAGCAAAACCCACACCAGUGCUUACCUUGGGCUAGCUUCACAGAGAAUUUGAAUUUCCCAAAUACCAUGGUUGGUCCUGGGACUUCUGGCUACCCUACCUGGAAAUUUCUCCCUCUUCCAAAAGCUACCACUCCUCCAGAUAUCUGGGCAUGAGGCAGUUUCCCACUUCCCAGGACUGCCAUUUGAGUAAGAGGACUGCUAUAGCUCUUCUUUGAAGAAUGUAAAUUUGAAAAUCUGGACUUUUAAGUUCCAUCCCCUGUUGCCUGAUGUCUAUUCUCUGUUGGAUGAGACGUAAUUGUGCAUUUUCAUCUUCGUGUAAAUACAAUCAUGAAGGUGGCAAGAUAGAUUGAGAAGCUCAAGUCUUGAACACUGCUUGGCUUCACAUGUACAGGCUAGACUCCAGGAUGAUCAGUGGAUUACCAGGUGGUGAUGUCUCUUUCUGUUGUCAAAGAACCAGAGACAACUGAAAUCUUCCUAGAUGGGGCUGGGGAGAAAAAAAGUCCAUGCAGGAGGCUGAGGGAACCAGCAAUCAAUCUCCAGUGGCAGCGUGCAGAUACCUCGCAAUAUCACGGUGGCCCUGCUCUUCAGCCAAGUCUACCGGCAGGCGUCCCCAGGCGUCACACACAUCCAGCCGAGCCCCUGCCCGGUGGAGCACCACUAGCGUGUCCAGGAAGCCCUCCCGCGCUGCAUCAUGCACAGGUCUGGUAAGGGUGGCAGGGUCGGCGCAGUUGGGUUCUGCCCCGUGGAGCAGCAGCAACUCUGCCACCUGGGCGCUGCCCAUCAUCAUGACCUGAAGGGAAAAAUAAGGGAAAGACCUCAGAGGCAGGGGCAGCAAAGGUGCUUGCCAGCUUCAGUUGUCUGGUUUCUCACUUGCUUACACAAUCCACUCCCCACCCACUAUAGUGUAGACUGAACUCAACGUAUUUUAUUCUCCAAGGGUGAAGCAAUAAAAAAGGGCAGAGAAA